AGUCUCGUAGCUCAGCUGGUUAGAGCACUACACUGAUAAUGUAGGGGUCGGCGGUUCAAGUCCGCCCGAGACUA
RNAcentral lists this transfer RNA (74 nucleotides) under bacterium. RNAcentral's name for it is "tRNA-Ile". It matches the Rfam family "tRNA". Rfam says of the family: Transfer RNA (tRNA) molecules are approximately 80 nucleotides in length. The record is from RNAcentral. RNAcentral also lists the same sequence under 6 other names.